GCCCAGACUCCUACGGGAGGCAGCAGUGGGGAAUAUUGCACAAUGGGGGAAACCCUGAUGCAGCGACGCCGCGUGAGCGAUGAAGUAUUUCGGUAUGUAAAGCUCUAUCAGCAGGGAAGAAAAUGGCGGUACCUGACUAAGAAGCCCCGGCUAACUACGUGCCAGCAGCCGCGGUAAUACGUAGGGGGCAAGCGUUAUCCGGAUUUACUGGGUGUAAAGGGAGCGUAGACGGCAAUGCAAGCCAGAUGUGAAAGCCCGGGGCUCAACCCCGGGACUGCAUUUGGAACUGUGUAGCUGGAGUGUCGGAGAGGCAGGCGGAAUUCCUAGUGUAGCGGUGAAAUGCGUAGAUAUUAGGAGGAACACCAGUGGCGAAGGCGGCCUGCUGGACGAUGACUGACGUUGAGGCUCGAAAGCGUGGGGAGCAAACAGGAUUAGAUACCCGGGUAC
Molecule: ribosomal RNA, 447 nt
Filed under: uncultured bacterium
Lineage: Bacteria
Description: bacterial SSU rRNA
Rfam family: Bacterial small subunit ribosomal RNA
Source: RNAcentral